RNAcentral lists this transfer RNA (71 nucleotides) under Lactobacillus sp. YT155. Its description in RNAcentral is "tRNA-Gln". It matches the Rfam family "tRNA". Rfam says of the family: Transfer RNA (tRNA) molecules are approximately 80 nucleotides in length. Their secondary structure includes four short double-helical elements and three loops (D, anti-codon, and T loops). The record is from RNAcentral. Lineage: Bacteria; Bacillati; Bacillota; Bacilli; Lactobacillales; Lactobacillaceae.
UGGGCUAUAGCCAAGUGGUAAGGCAACGGACUUUGACUCCGUCAGCGCUGGUUCGAUCCCAGCUAGCCCAA